Long non-coding RNA from Mercurialis annua (annual mercury), 264 nucleotides. RefSeq lists it as uncharacterized. The record is from RefSeq and is a predicted model, not a curated record. Lineage: Eukaryota; Viridiplantae; Streptophyta; Magnoliopsida; Malpighiales; Euphorbiaceae. The transcript has 3 exons.
AGACCAUUCAGGCCGAGGUUGAGAUACCCGGCCAUCACACCGCACUUACCGUUGGGUGACAGAUGGGCGGGUCCGCUAGAUUUUCGACGGGUUCUUCAUCGCAAUCUGGAUGCCAUGAGAUUAGCACUAGAUGUAUUACGUUACUCGGAUAUCGAUUGGCAACCAUACACCGAGGAUGUUAUCAGCCAGCUACAUCCUUAUUUUUUGGAUGGUGCUCAGUUCUGGCGUGCUCGCGUGCCACUGAUUUACUAUCAUAUUAUCGAG